Molecule: long non-coding RNA, 627 nt
Filed under: Homo sapiens (human)
Lineage: Eukaryota; Metazoa; Chordata; Mammalia; Primates; Hominidae
Description: HSALNT0407307
Source: RNAcentral
CCCAGCUUUCUCCACAGGGUGCAAAACAUGGUUGCCAGGCAGCUCCUAAGCUUUACCUUUUGAAGCCUCUGUCACCUGACCUAAUGCUUGCCCCUAUCCCAGGUUAAAACUCCCAAAGAACAGCUCUGAUUGGCCCAGAUCAGGGCAGAUGCCUUAGUCUCAGGCCAAUUGGCAGUGGUGUUGAUGAGGAGUGGGGGAGGGUCUGUGUCAUACAAAAUGGCUGUUCCUGCACUAGGUAUUGGUUUGAGGGACUAUAGUUCUCAUAAAGGAAUGGUGGGAGGACAACCUCACAGGUGCCCCAACCUCACUCUUUUUCUUUGUUCUUUGUUCUUUUUUUUUUUUUUUUUUUUUUUUGAGAUGGAGUCUUGCUCUAUUGGCAGGCUGGAGUGCAGUGGUGCGACCUCAGCUCACUGCAACCUCCGCCUCCCGGAUUCAAACAAUUCUCCUGCCUCAGCCUCCCGAGUAGCUGGGACUACAGGUGCGUGCCACCACACCCGGCUAAUUUUUGUAUUUUUAGUAGAGACGGGGUUUCACCAUAUUGGCCAGGAUGGUCUUGAUCUCUUGACCUCGUGAUCCACUCGCCUCGGCCUCCCAAAGUGCUGGGAUUACAGGCGUGAGCCACCACGC